Molecule: ribosomal RNA, 1233 nt
Filed under: Triticum aestivum (bread wheat)
Lineage: Eukaryota; Viridiplantae; Streptophyta; Magnoliopsida; Poales; Poaceae
Description: partial small subunit ribosomal RNA
Source: RNAcentral
AUGGCUCCUUUUACUGAAGAUGUGCACAAAGCUGUGUUAAGUAUUGGAGAUCUAAAAGCGCCAGGGCCGGAUGGGUUACAUGCUAUAUUCUUUAAAAAGUAUUGGCAUAUUCUUGGGAGUGACAUCACUCAUGAAGUCUUACAUGCUAUCAACACACAUCAAAUCCCUGCUGAGUGGAAUGAUACGUCAAUUGUGACGAUCCCAAAGGUGGAUGCACCUGAACUGGUAACUCAAUUUCGGCCUAUUAGUCUUUGUAAUGUACUUUACGAAAUUAUCUCCAAAAUGUUGGCUGCCAGAUUGAAGAGUAUAUUGCCUGAAAUUAUUUCACCUACCCAGAGUGCAUUUGUUCCUGGUAGAUUGAUCACCGAUAAUAUACUUAUUGCCUAUGAGUGUAUCCAUAAAAUAAAGAAUACGAGGAACAGUCUUGCUGGAUUGUGUGCAGUCAAGCUGGACAUGCAUAAGGCUUACGAUAGAGUAGAAUGGAUCUUCUUGAGAAAUAUGAUGAGGAAAUUGGGAUUCCAUGAGAAUUGGAUUGAUUUAAUGAUGGCUUGUGUGAACUCAGUAAGAUACAAAGUAAGAUUUAACUCACAGGAGACGGAUAUAUUUACCCCUACAAGGGGUCUCAGGCAAGGGGACCCCCUCGCGCCGUACCUAUUUCUGAUUUGUGCAAAAGGUCUUUCUAGUUUAUUGCAGUAUGAAGAAGAAGUUGGUGGCAUUGAUGGGAUCAGAGUGUGCAUGAAUGCACCGUCAGUUUCACACCUCUUAUUUGCUGACGAUUCUCUUAUUCUCAUGCGAGCAGAUGUGUUAAAUGCAACUUCCUUAUGGCAAGCACUAGAAACCUACUGUGAGAAUUCGGGACAGAUGAUUACUGUGGGUAAAUCGAGCAUCUUUUUCAGCCCAAAUACUAAUGUGACCACGAAAGCUGAAAUUUGUCAAGAGUUGGAUAUAAAUACGGAAGCCUUAUUUGAUAAAUAUCUCGGCCUACCUGCCAUGGUUGGUGCUGACAGAGACUGUUUCAAACAUCUCUGUGACAGGGUUAUGCAGAGGAUAAAAGGAUGGAUGAAGAAACAAUUAUCCACGGGUGGCAAGGAGAUCUUAUUGAAGGCCAUUGCUCAGUCUAUACCAGUUUUUGCAAUGUCAGUUUUCUGUCUUCCUAAAGGCGUUUGCAAAGAAAUUACAGAUGUAAUAGCUCAAUUCUGGUAGGGUGAUGAAGAAGAUAACAAGAAGAUGCAU